This 707-nucleotide ribosomal RNA is filed under the name Pseudomonas oryzihabitans. Its description in RNAcentral is "partial 23S ribosomal RNA". It matches the Rfam family "Bacterial large subunit ribosomal RNA", at positions 2238 to 2925 of the family's 2925-position model. Lineage: Bacteria; Pseudomonadati; Pseudomonadota; Gammaproteobacteria; Pseudomonadales; Pseudomonadaceae. The record is from RNAcentral.
AUCCGGAUCGAGGACAGUGUAUGGUGGGCAGUUUGACUGGGGCGGUCUCCUCCUAAAGAGUAACGGAGGAGUACGAAGGUGCGCUCAGACCGGUCGGAAAUCGGUCGUAGAGUAUAAAGGCAAAAGCGCGCUUGACUGCGAGACAGACACGUCGAGCAGGUACGAAAGUAGGUCUUAGUGAUCCGGUGGUUCUGUAUGGAAGGGCCAUCGCUCAACGGAUAAAAGGUACUCCGGGGAUAACAGGCUGAUACCGCCCAAGAGUUCAUAUCGACGGCGGUGUUUGGCACCUCGAUGUCGGCUCAUCACAUCCUGGGGCUGAAGCCGGUCCCAAGGGUAUGGCUGUUCGCCAUUUAAAGUGGUACGCGAGCUGGGUUUAGAACGUCGUGAGACAGUUCGGUCCCUAUCUGCCGUGGACGUUUGAGAUUUGAGAGGGGCUGCUCCUAGUACGAGAGGACCGGAGUGGACGAACCUCUGGUGUUCCGGUUGUCACGCCAGUGGCAUUGCCGGGUAGCUAUGUUCGGAAGAGAUAACCGCUGAAAGCAUCUAAGCGGGAAACUUGCCUCAAGAUGAGAUCUCACUGGAGCCUUGAGCUUCCUGAAGGGCCGUCGAAGACUACGACGUUGAUAGGUCGGGUGUGUAAGCGCUGUGAGGCGUUGAGCUAACCGAUACUAAUUGCCCGUGAGGCUUGACCAUAUAACACCCAAACA